This is a long non-coding RNA of Hemicordylus capensis (graceful crag lizard), 1074 nucleotides long. RefSeq lists it as uncharacterized. The record is from RefSeq and is a predicted model, not a curated record. The transcript is spliced from 3 exons. Lineage: Eukaryota; Metazoa; Chordata; Lepidosauria; Squamata; Cordylidae.
GCCUCGUGUAGGCCUCUGUGAAGCCUGAACUCCAGUAGGGCCCAAGCCAGCCAGGAAGGAGGAGGCAGCCAGAGUGGCCACCACUGUUCUCUGCAGCAGAAGACCCCUUGCUGCCAGAAACAUCGCAGGCUUCAGAUGGAAGAUUACAUGAUUGAAUGCUCCUCCGUUUUAAAAACAUCUAUACAUGGUGAAAACACAAUUGAAUUCUCCUCAGUAGUUUGUUUUUUAAAUCUAUAAAUAGUGAGGACAUUAUAACCUAAACAUUGCCUCGCUGGAUCAAGCCAAGUUCAUCUGGUCCAACAUCCCACAACUUCUGGUGAAACACAUAGAGCAUGAAGAGGUGAUGACUAUUCCACAGUGACUGUUUCCAUGGACUUCUCUGAAGAUACAAUGAAACCUGUUAUGUUUUCUUAAAUUUCUGUUCCAUGUGUGACAAAAAGUUGGCAUCCAAACAUCUCUGUUGCAGCACUAGCAUUUUUAAUGUUAUGGUAGUUCAGCUUUUCUGCUCUUGGAUCUGUCUUGGCCUAUUUGACCAGAACGCCACCAACUAAUCCUUCAACAAGGUGUAUCACAGCCAAGCCCACUCUGCAAGUUGAACCCAAGCAACAAUUACAGCAUUUUCCCACUGCCUGCUCUCCUCCAUGGGGCUAAUAUUGCAUGAACUUGCACAACUUCUGAGGUUGUGAUCUUGCAGAGAACCAUAUCCACUCAAGGAAUAACAUCCUUAGGAAAACUUUAAGAAGGAAGGACCCAGAAUAUUCUGGUGACUGAAAAAAAAAAAUUGGGGGGGAGGGGGACCACCAUUGAAUAAACUUGUUUUUCUUAACUGUCACUAAUUCAAUAUAUUUAUUUAGGUCUUUGACUAGCAUAGGAUAAAACAUGACAGUAGUGUCAAAAACAGUCUACAUCUGUGGAGAUAGCAACUGUAAAGUUAAAAUCUUGUUGCUAUCAAAUUAAGAUCUAUGGAAUGUUGUAAAAUCAAUUAAAAUAUGCUAAAAUAAAUGCAUAGAGGCUAAGAAGUUAAAAACAAUGAACAUAAAACUAAAAUCUAUCAGAGGUAAUAAAAAGUUGAGA